Molecule: ribosomal RNA, 459 nt
Filed under: uncultured organism
Description: bacterial SSU rRNA
Rfam family: Bacterial small subunit ribosomal RNA
Source: RNAcentral
GAUGAACGCUGGCGGCGUGCUUAACACAUGCAAGUCGAACGUGAGGGGGAGCAAUCUCCUGAAAGUGGCGAACGGGUGAGUAACACGUAGGUGACCUGCCUCGGAGUGGGGGAUAACAGUUGGAAACGGCUGCUAAUACCGCAUACGGUGAGUAAAGCGGGAGCUUUGCUCGGGAAAACUCUGGUGCUCUGAGAGGGGCCUGCGUCCGAUUAGCUAGUUGGUGAGGUAAAGGCUCACCAAGGCGAUGAUCGGUAGCUGGUCUGAGAGGACGAUCAGCCACACGGGAACUGAGAAACGGUCCCGACUCCUACGGGGGGCAGCAGUGAGGAAUAUUGGGCAAUGGGCGGAAGCCUGACCCAGCAACGCCGCGUGGAGGACGAAGGCCUUCGGGUCGUAAACUCCUUUUAUGGGGGAAGAGUGAGGACGGUACCCUAGGAAUAAGUCACGGCUAACUACGUG